AUCUGACCCACAAAAGAAGAAGCAAACAGAGAGGAGACGAGUAACUCAGGAAAAAGAGGAAGGCAUGUGUGUGAUCUUGGCAACAACCUGUUUUCAAGAGAACCAAGCGGAGCACAUAGAGAACACGACAGAACACAGGCCUUUCCCCAUGUCGACUGAAAGAGAGAGCAGGAGAAAGUGACUGAGCAGCUCUCCAGCACAAGGCAGACAAGGAUUGGAGACAUGGAUGGAGAGGGCCCCUCAACCUGCUGUCACCUUAUCUCUUCAUGGUUGCCAAAAAGAUGUUGCCAGGUCAUGAUCUCAGUUGUGAGAUGGAGCCCCAAGUCAGGUUUCUCACUGGACAUGGAACCUGCUGAUGAUUCUAUCCCUCAGAAAAAAGGAAGGAAGGAAGGAAGGAAGGAAGGAAGGAAGGAAGGAAGAAGGAAGGAAGGAAGAAGAAAGAAAGGAAAAGAAAAAAGAAAAGAAGAGAAAAGAAAGAAAAAAAAGAAAAGAAAAGAAAAGAAAAGAAAAGAAAAGAAAAGAAAAGAAAAGAAAAGAAAAGAAAAGAAAAGAAAAGAAAUGUGA
Molecule: long non-coding RNA, 564 nt
Filed under: Felis catus (domestic cat)
Lineage: Eukaryota; Metazoa; Chordata; Mammalia; Carnivora; Felidae
Description: lncRNA (ENSFCAG00000052244.1)
Source: RNAcentral